Molecule: ribosomal RNA, 432 nt
Filed under: Colossendeis glacialis
Lineage: Eukaryota; Metazoa; Arthropoda; Pycnogonida; Pantopoda; Colossendeidae
Description: SSU rRNA
Rfam family: Eukaryotic small subunit ribosomal RNA
Source: RNAcentral
GUCGCGGGAGGCCGACUUACUUUGAAAAAAUUAGAGUGCUCAAAGCAGGCGCCUGAAUAAUGGUGCAUGGAAUGAUGGAAUAGGACCUCGGUUCUAUUUUGUUGGUUUUCGCGAGGUAAUGAUUAAGAGGGACAGACGGGGGCAUUCGUAUUGCGACGCUAGAGGUGAAAUUCUUGGACCGUCGCAAGACGAACUACUGCGAAAGCAUUUGCCAAGAAUGUUUUCAUUAAUCAAGAACGAAAGUUAGAGGUUCGAAGGCGAUCAGAUACCGCCCUAGUUCUAACCAUAAACGAUGCCAACCAGCGAUCCGCCGGAGUUCCUUCUAUGACUCGGCGGGCAGCUUCCGGGAAACCAAAGUCUUUGGGUUCCGGGGGAAGUAUGGUUGCAAAGCUGAAACUUAAAGGAAUUGACGGAAGGGCACCACCAGGAGUG